Molecule: ribosomal RNA, 543 nt
Filed under: Triticum aestivum (bread wheat)
Lineage: Eukaryota; Viridiplantae; Streptophyta; Magnoliopsida; Poales; Poaceae
Description: partial small subunit ribosomal RNA
Source: RNAcentral
AUGUCGCAUUUGCUCUUCCUUGUGUUGCUAAGGACACUGAUGGGUGGGGUUUGCUUACAGCACAGGACCGAUAAUUCUGAUAGUAUGCCAAGGACUGCUCAGGGUUCCUAUCACUUUCUGUUUUACCAACUAAGAAUGAUGUAUAUGAUUUCUUAUGGUUCUGAUGGUGUGCUUCUUGUGUUUGAACUGAAGUCGUGGAUCACUCAUCAACCUGGUCUGUGUUUGUAUGGUCAGCAACCAGAACUUCCUGCUGCUGAUCCUGGGAUGCUCCCGAGCAUGUUCAAUUUAUCCGCCCUAGGACAGGUUAUUACUCAGCACGCUCGGCGUGUUUACUUCGGUGGACUUCCUCCGAUCGCUAAUGAACAGACAGUUGCUCUAUUCUUCAACCAAGUUAUGGCUGCUAUCGGGGGAAACACAUUUGAUCUAGGUGAUGCAGUUGUCAAUAUGAAGCUGAAUUUUGAAUUCAUUCAAAACAUCUUAGUUGUUAAUAUGAAGCUGAUUUUUGAAUUCAUUCAAAACAUCUUAGGUGGCAUAAUCAUCUGA